Molecule: long non-coding RNA, 2787 nt
Organism: Thunnus maccoyii (southern bluefin tuna)
Lineage: Eukaryota; Metazoa; Chordata; Actinopteri; Scombriformes; Scombridae
Exons: 2
Source: RefSeq, a predicted model, not a curated record
CACAGUCCCAUCACCUGCUGCAUCAAAUAACUCAAUUUACAUUCACACAGGUAAUUUUCUCCUCAUAUUUAUUUGCUCCCCACUUUAUUUAUGAUCUGUUGUACCAAUUAAAUUGACUUUUCUUCUGGCCUGAAAGGUAGCAGUAUUUGCUCACCUGUGCUUUGGAAUUAACAUCCAGGCUUAUGCACCAGAUUGUGUGCCCGGACCUUUCUAACGGGCCAUGCUUACAGUGGUGUAUUUGAAAACACAGGCAUGGAGCAGCAUCAUCUGCUGGGAAAAGCCAGAUCAAAUAACAGAUUCAGAUUUGCCAAAGUCAUUAAUUUCACAUGCUGGCAGUGGAAGUCCUUGUGGCUACAGAAUGAGAAAUGUUUUCAAUAAAAGGUUUGAAUUCCUGUUUAAUCAUCACAGCUGCCAUUUGGGAACCAGGCAGGUAUUUUGGUGCUUGACAAAAAAGAAACAAAACCCCCUUUUCCCAGUACAAAAUUUGUCAUAGGCUUGCAGUUGUGGUUGGUAGAAAAAAAGUUGUUUGUUAUGUAUCAUUCCUUUCUCUUAAACUGAAUAAACCCACACUGCAUUUGUCCACCUGGACUGCAAUAAAUCCAAAAUUAAGUAUGUACCGCUCUUCACUCAACCGUAACCAUUGUGCAAUCCUGGUACCCCACUAAUCCAGUGAUGUCUGUCAUAAAAUAACAUGUGAAAGACAUUCAAAUAUUCAUACAAAUAUUGCAGAUUAUGGGGACUAACUUGUGUGACUUUGAAGACUUUGGAGGGAUUCAUAGGAGUAAAUCUAUGUGGGAGCUGACAUUUUAAUAACUUCAAUUUACAGAGUGGAAUUAUGUGUGUACUUGUGUGAAGUACUUAUGUUCUUGUGGACCUGUGUGGACAAUUCUAUGAAGCAAAUUUAGGGCCAACAUGUUUGAAAGCAAAAAAACAAGACUAAGAUUCUCUGCAAGAUGUACAAACGCAUAGUGGUGCUUCAAGCUAAAUUAAAAGUUACUCUAGCUUGCUAGCAUGCUAACAUUUCAUCUAAUUCCUGCAGGCUAAAAAACAAAGUACAAAAUUACGGCAGAGGCUGAUAGGAAUAUUAUUAGUUUUGCAGGUAUGCAGUCAGGGGAUCACCAAAGUGAUUACAAGUCAUCCUGAGGGGGACCGAAUCAUGUUAUACUCACCACUCUGCUGUUCUCAGUUGCUUUCUCUUACUGAGUCAUGCUCUAAUGAAUUCCAGACAUUUCCUAUAAUACUCUCCCUGUGUGUGUGUGUCUAAUUGUGUGAGUGGAGAAAGGUGUGCUGGAGUCAGAGCAGAGCCACACCAGCGGCACCUCAUCCCAAUAAUCAAGACCUCUACAAAUAUUCCACUCUGCCAGAUUGUAGCUUCUGCACCAGUCAGUCUAUGCUUUGAGCCAUUUUUCAUGCAUUACCAGUUUUCCUGUUGUUGCCAGUUUUUUUCCUUUGCCUAUACCUGUCUGCUGUUUCGCUGCAGUUCCAUCUGCUCUGGUUCCAGCCCUUGUCUCCAGUCCCUCGUUUCGUAUCAUCAGCUGUGCUUACCUGCCCCACUCUUCACAGCUUCCAGCCCAAUCCUCAGGCCCAGGUUCCCAGUUUCCAGCCCAAUCCUCAGCCCCAGGUUCCCAGCUUCCAGCCCAAUCCUCAGCCCCAGGUUCCCAGCUUCCAGCCCAGUCCGCAGCCUCUGUUUCCCAGUUACCAGCCCAAACUUCCUCAGGGCUGCAUUCCUUUUUCCCAAGCCUUCACAAUAAAUACCAUAUCCCUGACUCCUCACCGUGAGUGUCUGCACUUGGGUUCAGCUGCUCCACCCCACUUAACUGUAUGAUCUGCUGCUACUACUCCAAGCUGCUGGACCCCAGUCUUGUUUCCAGUUGCCGGACUCCGGUCAUGCACUCCAACAACUGGACUCCAGUCCUGUCCUGGCAUCUGGUUGACCUUCAGAGUGGUCUCGCUCAUCUGCCCUGUCAUCUGGUUGGCCUCCAGAGAGGUUUGGAUCAUCUGCCCUGCCGUCUCUUCGGUCUCCCGAGUAGUCUCACUCAUCUGUCUUGUCAUCUGGUCAGCCUCCCGAGUGGUCUUGCUCAGCUUUCUUGCCAUCUGGUCGACCUCCAGAGAAGCUCUGCCCAAUUAUCCUGAUGUCUGGUCAUCCUCCUGCCCAUCCUCCAGAGUGACUGGAGAGUGACUCUGCCCAUUUACCCUGUCUUCCAGUCAAGGUUUCCAGCCCCUGCUUCCUGGAUCCUGUACUGUUAUGAUUCUGUGUUUCCUUAACCUGCUGCCACUCUCCCAGUGGCUCUCUCCCUCUCUAUCCCUGUGUGUGUGUGUGUGUGUGUGUGUAUCUGAUAGUGUGAGUGGAGACAGGUGUGCUUGAGUCAGAGCAGAGCCAUACCAGCUGCACCUUAUCUCAAAAAUCAAGAUCUCUACAAACUCAAACUACUCAACCCUGCCACUUCCACUCUGCCAGAUCGUAGCUUCUGCAUCAUCCUGUCUGCUUUGGCUCCAGCCCCUUGUCUCAUCAGCCCAGCUUCCCCGCCCUGGAUCCCCGCUCUUCCCAGCUUCCAGGCUGAGUCUCAGCCCCAGGUUCCCAGCUUCCAGGCUGAGCCUCAGCCCCAGGUUCCCAGUUUCCAACCCAAUCCUCAGCCCCAGAUUCCCAGCUUUCAGCCCAGUCCUCAGCCCAAGGUUCCCAGCUUUCAGCCCAAUUCUCAGCCUCAGUUCCCUGUUAUCAGCCCAAGCUGCCCCAGGUCUGCUUUCCCUUUCCCCAGCCAACACAAUAAAUACUCUGUUUCUACCAUA